GACGAACGCUGGCGGCGUGCUUAACACAUGCAAGUCGAACGGAAAGGCCCUGCUUUUGUGGGGUGCUCGAGUGGCGAACGGGUGAGUAACACGUGAGUAACCUGCCCUUGACUUUGGGAUAACUUCAGGAAACUGGGGCUAAUACCGGAUAGGAGCUCCUGCUGCAUGGUGGGGGUUGGAAAGUUUCGGCGGUUGGGGACGGACUCGCGGCUUAUCAGCUUGUUGGUGGGGUAGUGGCUUACCAAGGCUUUGACGGGUAGCCGGCCUGAGAGGGUGACCGGCCACAUUGGGACUGAGAUACGGCCCAGACUCCUACGGGAGGCAGCAGUGGGAAAUAUUGCACAAUGGGCGGAAGCCUGAUGCAGCAACGCCGCGUGCGGGAUGACGGCCUUCGGGUUGUAAACCGCUUUCGCCUGUGACGAAGCGUGAGUGACGGUAACGGGUAAAGAAGCACCGGCUAACUACGUG
RNAcentral lists this ribosomal RNA (468 nucleotides) under uncultured bacterium. RNAcentral's name for it is "partial 16S ribosomal RNA". It matches the Rfam family "Bacterial small subunit ribosomal RNA", at positions 28 to 507 of the family's 1533-position model. The record is from RNAcentral.